RNAcentral lists this unclassified non-coding RNA (258 nucleotides) under Hevea brasiliensis (rubber tree). The record is from RNAcentral. Lineage: Eukaryota; Viridiplantae; Streptophyta; Magnoliopsida; Malpighiales; Euphorbiaceae.
AUUUUUACAAUGAAAAAUUAAAUUGCUGAAGUUAGAUCGAGUUAUGUAGUGCUGAAGAAUCAGGAAUUGAAUUGGGAACAAUCAACUCAAUCUUCUUGGAUGGUAGCAGUAAGAUUGAAACAAGGAAAUUCAUGCUUUCCUUUGCAUCCUUGGAAACAUCUGAACAUAUAAAAUAGUUAACAACAGUAGUUGAAAGGCUCUUCGGUUCACUAGGAAUAGGAGUAUUAGCUAAAGCUUUAAUUUCCAUUGUUGUCUCCA